Molecule: transfer RNA, 73 nt
Filed under: Bacteroidetes bacterium CG18_big_fil_WC_8_21_14_2_50_41_14
Lineage: Bacteria; Pseudomonadati; Bacteroidota
Also listed under: 3 other names
Description: tRNA-Lys
Rfam family: tRNA
About the family: Transfer RNA (tRNA) molecules are approximately 80 nucleotides in length. Their secondary structure includes four short double-helical elements and three loops (D, anti-codon, and T loops).
Source: RNAcentral
CUCUCCGUAGCUCAGUUGGUAGAGCAGCUGACUCUUAAUCAGCGGGCCACAGGUUCGAGCCCUGUCGGGGAGA